UGCGCGUCUGUAGCAAUACAGAUGGCGCACGGCGCACGGGUGCGUAACACGUGGGUAAUCUGCCCUUCGAAGGGGAAUAACUCGCCGAAAGGCGAGCUAAUUCCGCAUAACAUUCCGAGAACCUUGGUUUUUGGAUUCAAAGGCGUAAGUCGUCGGAGGAGGAGCCCGCGCACGAUUAGCUAGUUGGUAGGGUAACGGCCUACCAAGGCUAUGAUCGUUAGCUGGUCUGAGAGGAUGGCCAGCCACACUGGAACUGAGACACGGUCCAGACUCCUACGGGAGGCAGCAGUGGGGAAUCUUGCACAAUGGGCGAAAGCCUGAUGCAGCGACGCCGCGUGGGGGAUGAAGCUUCUCGGAGUGUAAACCCCUUUCGACCCGGACGAAUGCCCCGCAAGGGGACUGACGGUACGGGUAUAAGAAGCCCCGGCUAACUACGUGCCAGCAGCCGCGGUAAGACGUAGGGGGCCAGCGUUGCUCGGAAUUACUGGGUGUAAAGGGUUCGUAGGCGGUGUGGCAAGUCGGGAGUGAAAUCUCUGGGCUCAACCCAGAGUCUGCUUCCGAAACUGCCGUGCUUGAGUGUGGGAGAGGCGCGUGGAAUUGCAGGUGUAGCGGUGAAAUGCGUAGAUAUCUGCAGGAACACCCGUGGCGAAAGCGGCGCGCUGGACCACUACUGACGCUGAGGAACGAAAGCUAGGGGAGCAAACAGGAUUAGAUACCCUGGUAGUCCUAGCCCUAAACGAUCAGGACUUGGGGUGCCACCCGUUCGGGUGUCGUCCCGGAGCUAACGCG
Molecule: ribosomal RNA, 789 nt
Filed under: uncultured Pseudomonadota bacterium
Lineage: Bacteria; Pseudomonadati; Pseudomonadota
Description: bacterial SSU rRNA
Rfam family: Bacterial small subunit ribosomal RNA
Source: RNAcentral